AAGCAAGAAGCAAUUAGUUGCAUUCAAUUUCGACCUGACCGUUGACCCCCCAAGUCCUUGCUUA
RNAcentral lists this transfer RNA (64 nucleotides) under Rhinostomus barbirostris (bearded weevil). Its description in RNAcentral is "tRNA-Arg". Lineage: Eukaryota; Metazoa; Arthropoda; Insecta; Coleoptera; Curculionidae. The record is from RNAcentral.